CCUAAACAAGGUAUAAAGCAAAGAUGUGAGAAUUAAGCAUCAGAAAGCCCUAUAUACCUAGACUUAAAACCUAACAACAUCAGGACCUUGGAAACAAAUUACCUAAACUCUAUGAAUCAAAGAAGAAAAUGGAAUGAGCUACUUGUGCCAGAGAACAGCUACAUAAAUGCGUUCUCUUCCUGAUGCGCUUGAAUAAAAGAAAACUACUAUCUUCAAUUCCUCAUCAGAAGACGACUGCUGACUAAUCUGAUGAAGGAAGGAAGUCUGUAGAGGAAAGCUGAUUGAAAAG
This 289-nucleotide long non-coding RNA is filed under the name Mustela putorius furo (domestic ferret). RNAcentral's name for it is "lncRNA (ENSMPUG00000027642.1)". Lineage: Eukaryota; Metazoa; Chordata; Mammalia; Carnivora; Mustelidae. The record is from RNAcentral.